AAGUUUUUAAAAAUUCGUAAAAAUGAUCAUAGAUUCUCGAUAUUUAAAGCUCUUCGUAAAACGCAAAACGUUCACGAUUCCCUCGUAAAUUCGCGUCUCCUCGUCGAGUUUUUAAACAUCUUUGAUAUCAUUAUUAUCCUUCUUCGAACAUGGUGGAUCUGCGUAGUCGAGAAAAUCGUAUCAUCCCAAAAGAGCCGCGCUUUUUACGAUGUUUUAUUACGCGAGAUACAUCUGCGACACACGUCGAACGAAACUGCUUCGGCUUAAUAAUCAUCGGCCUCCGUGUCUAGGAUCGCACGUGCCAACUGAUUACGCGUAAUCGAAUGACAGUGUUCCCUUCUCGGUAAUUUUCGUUCACUUGUUAGAAUUUCAUGGUACACCUACAAUGUGCGAUUUUUCCGUUUACUCAUGAGUGGUAUCGAUUCGAAAACAAGCGUCUCUUUAACGCGACCGGAUAUCGCGCGUUUUCACCUUAUCCCCGCUUAUCUCGCGAAGAUGACGCGAGUCAAAUUGGAAGUCGAAUCGAGUUCGAAGGAAUCAAAGACGAUCCGCAUGCGAUGCGGAAUCGCACGCAACUCCUUCUAUUGUUUCGCGAAUAAAACGUGAGGCAUUGUUAACUAUUAUCGCGAUUCGAGUCCACGUCGUGGACAAUUAAAUUCGUAAGGGAAAAGAAUAUGGAUCGUGAGGGAUCGUUGAAGAGUGGUUCGUCACCGUGGAUGCAGCCGGGUAUCGGAGGUGGAGGUGGCGCGGCCCACACAGGUGGGACAGGUGACGACGAAGCUCCGAAAGAUCCCGGUGUUCGGAUCACUCAUCAACCUUUCACCGAGAAAGACUACGAAGGUCACAGAGCGCACACGGUGUAUGUGGGCGUGCAUCUACCAGGCGAAAGGAGACAUCGUCGUCAUCACAAGCACCAUCAUUCUCAACGUCAAACGUACAGUGCCGAUAAGGAUAAUGUCGACAACGAUAGGCCCAUUACACCCCCAGCCCAGAGGGUGCAAUUUAUCCUGGGCGAAGAAGUUGGCGACGAUGCACACGAAUCCCAUCCUCUCUUCUCCGAGAUGGAGGAGCUCGUCAAGGAUGGUGACGAGAUGGAAUGGAAGGAAACAGCCAGGUGGAUCAAAUUUGAGGAAGAUGUCGAGGAGGGUGGAAAUAGAUGGAGCAAACCACACGUAGCGACUCUCUCGCUACACGCCCUCUUCGAAUUGAGGAGCCUGCUGUUAAAUGGGACCGUGAUGUUGGACAUGGAAGCGAACAGUCUUGAACAGAUUGCUGAUUUGGUUCUCGAUAAUAUGAUCAAUAAAGGCUCGUUGCCGGCCGAGUCGAGAGAAAAGGUCAGGGAAGCUCUUCUGGUGAGGCAUCGGCAUCAACACGAGAGACGUAAAGAUAACAACAUGUCUAGGCUACCUAUUAUCAGAUCAUUGGCCGAAAUAGGUCGAAAUCAUUCCUCUUCGAAGAAUUACGACUGUACGUGUGGUUUGCAUGCGUUGUUGACGUCAGAUUUACAGGAGCGUCGCGGUAGGGACGCCUACGCGCCCUCCGUCGCUCGCAGCAGCAGUUGUCCAAAUCCAAACACAGCUCUACUUUCGAAAGAAACGAAAGAUUUGAAAGGACCGUAUCUUCUGGUUCCAGUGGAGGAAUCGAAUUCCGCUCCGGCGAUCGCCGGCGCAACAAGUCACGGCAGUGGGCCAGCGUUGAAUGCGGGUAGCCGUUUCCUUGCUAUACCUGGCCAAGAACCAGGCCCUAACGGAAUGGAUCGAAGUCCGAGUAGCGUGUCAAUUAGCCGAAAUCACAGUUCGUCCGCCUUAGAAAAUGGAGAUGCGAAUCACAAGGGUAAUACGCAUUUUAUGCGGAAGAUACCAGCGGGAGCCGAGGCGAGCAAUAUUCUCGUAGGAGAGGUCGAUUUUUUAGAUAAAACUCUAUCGGCUUUUAUUCGAUUGAGCCAAGCUGGAAUAAUGGGUGAUUUGACGGAAGUUCCUGUGCCAACGAGAUUUAUAUUUGUUCUGCUUGGACCAACGGGAGGGCUCACAGGUUUCCACGAGAUUGGUCGUGCAAUGGCUACUUUGAUGUCUGACGAGGUCUUCCACGAUGUGGCUUACAAGGCGAAGAACAGAAAUCAUCUUCUCGCCGGAAUUGACGAGUUCUUGGACGCGGUCACGGUUCUACCACCAGGAGAAUGGGAUCCUGCAAUCAGAAUAGAACCGCCUGCUGCCAUUCCUUCGCAGGAUGUAAGAAAACGACCAAAAGAAGAAAAACCGAAAGAAGAACUGGACGAAGAAGCUGAUGAACAAAAAUUGAGGGAAGAAUCCGGACUCUCGAGGUCUGGUAAACUUUUCGGUGGUUUGAUAAACGAUAUCAAGAGGAAAGCGCCGUUUUACUUCUCCGAUUUCAAAGACGCGUUGGCUCUUCAAUGCGUAGCCUCUUUUAUCUUCCUAUACUUUGCCUGUCUCUCGCCUAUAAUCACAUUUGGUGGUUUAUUGGGCGAGGCUACGGGAAAAAAUAUGGCCGCCAUGGAGUCGUUAGUUUCUGGUUUCGUUUGCGGUAUCGGAUAUGGAUUUUUUUCUGGACAACCUUUAACCAUCCUCGGCUCAACCGGUCCCGUUUUAGUCUUCGAGACGAUAGUCUAUGAAUUCUGCAAGAAAUCGGAUUGGAACUACAUGUCGUUCCGUUUUUGGAUCGGCUCAUGGAUAACCUUAAUUUUGGUAAUUCUCGUAGCGAUCGACGCUAGUGCUUUCGUGUGCUACAUCACACGUUUCACAGAGGAAAACUUCGCCACUCUGAUCGCGUUUAUCUUCAUCUACAAAGCCAUUGAAAACGUAUUGUCCAUCGGCAAGAAAUAUCCUAUUAAUACCCAUGCAAACGAUCCGUUCGAUUACGAGUGUUGGUGUAGGCCACCGAAUGGCAGUCUACCGUCUAGCUACGACAACGUUAAUUGGACGGCGCUCGAUCAAAAAACGUGCCAGAAUUACAACGGUACGCUAGUGGGCGAUGGUUGCAACUUACCGCACUAUAUACCUGAUGUGUUCCUCAUGUCAAUUAUACUAUUCAUGGGCACAUUUCUGUUAUCCGUUGAGCUCAAAGACUUCAAGAACGCUCUCUUCUUUCCAUCGAAGGUCAGACAAGUCGUUAGUGAUUUCGCGGUGAUAAUAGCAAUUUUUUCGAUGAGUACUCUCGAUCAUUUCGCGAAUAUUCCGACGCCGAAACUCGAGGUACCAACGGAAUUCAAGCCAACGUUGGCAGAUCGAGGAUGGAUAAUCUGGCCUUUUCAAAGUAAUCCAUGGUGGAGCGCUAUUGUUGCAAGUCUGCCAGCUCUGUUAGGUACUAUAUUGAUUUUUAUGGAUCAACAAAUCACAGCCGUGAUAGUAAAUAGGAAAGAGAAUAAAUUAAAGAAAGGAUGUGGCUAUCAUUUGGAUCUAUUCGUUCUCGCGAUUCUGAUAGAAAUUUGCUCGGUAAUGGGAUUACCCUGGUUCGUAGCGGCAACGGUGCUUUCGAUUAAUCAUGUGAACUCGUUGAAACUGGAAUCGGAAUGCGCCGCACCAGGAGAAAAACCACGAUUCCUUGGUGUUCGCGAGCAACGAGUAACGCAUAUUUUAAUCUUUUUGAUGAUCGGUUGUUCGGUCUUACUCACACCAAUGUUGAGACACAUACCUAUGCCGGUAUUAUUUGGCGUUUUUCUUUAUAUGGGAGUCGCUUCAUUGAAAGGACUUCAAUUUUUCGACAGAAUUUUAAUUAUGUUGAUGCCGGUUAAAUACCAACCCGAUUAUAUGUUCCUUCGACAGGUACCAUUGAAACGCGUACAUCUAUUUACAACGAUACAAUUGACUUGUUUAGCCUGUUUGUGGAUCAUCAAAUCCUUCAGCAGUACUUCCAUUCUUUUCCCUUUGAUGCUGAUGGUGAUGAUUGGAAUACGCAAGUCCUUAGAUUUGAUGUUCACGCAACGGGAGUUGAAGAUCCUGGACGAUAUAAUGCCGGAACCAAGCAAAAAACAUGCCGAAGAUCUUCGUCAAUUGGAGAGCGGCGAGGAACAAAACGAAUCCAUCGGAUAUGGUCCAUCAGGUAAUAUACAAAUCUCAUUGGCGAAUGGCAACAUUAUGAAAAUUCCAAUGGCGAGCAUCAAUAUCAGCGAAGAAGUGAAUAAGACAGGGAUUUGGCAACAAGUAAAUGAAGGCAACGAGAAAAUGAAACAAGUCAAAUUGAUCAACGCGGGAAAGCAAAAAAAGCACUCGAAGAAAGAUAACUUGUUGAUGGCCGACGAGACUACGAGGCUGACUACGAUGACCGAAGAGGAUGAAGAUGACAGUGGGAUCUCUAUCAAGGUGACAAACGUAAAUGACUCUAAAUUCUAGCCACCACCACCAUCACCAAACCGAUAAAUCACAUGGCAAGUCACACAGCAAGAGCACCAAUACACCGGCAUGCAACAUACCCCCAUGUACGCUACUGUGUAGACUUGAUACGAUCGAAGGAAAGCAUCAGCCCGUUAACGAUUAACGGCACUACUUCGGCCGAGACUUCUGUUUAACGAAAACAACGCUACACUGGGAACGAUUCGCGAGAUCGUUUUUAAUCGUUAAAAUAUCCCGAAGAUUCCAUUACGAAUUAAUAGAUACAAUAUGUUUUAAUUUUUAUCGUACGCGUUAUUGCCAGCCAAGAUACAAACACAAUUAUGGUGAAUCGUUGAAAGAAAAUUAUUACGAGAACAAUAACCAAGUUGAAGCAUAUGGAACACUUUGAUACUAUAUGAAAGUUUAAACAGCGAUAAAAAUAAGUGAAAAAUAAUUUUUUUUUUGUUUUUACAGAGAAUAAAAUCGCAUGCGAGACUAUCUUAUCUCAUUGCAUUUGUAAUUUGAUCGAGUGCAAUUAAUGAGUGCCACUGACAUAUAUCUAGAUUGUAACUAACAUGAACGUAUUUUAUUCAUAUAAAAAAAAGAAAAAAGAAAAAAAAAAGAA
RNAcentral lists this unclassified non-coding RNA (4950 nucleotides) under Apis dorsata (giant honeybee). Its description in RNAcentral is "electroneutral sodium bicarbonate exchanger 1, transcript variant X21". Lineage: Eukaryota; Metazoa; Arthropoda; Insecta; Hymenoptera; Apidae. The record is from RNAcentral.